Molecule: ribosomal RNA, 305 nt
Filed under: uncultured bacterium
Lineage: Bacteria
Description: bacterial SSU rRNA
Rfam family: Bacterial small subunit ribosomal RNA
Source: RNAcentral
CCCUACGGGGGGCAGCAGUGGGGAAUAUUGCACAAUGGGGGAAACCCUGAUGCAGCAACGCCGCGUGAAGGAAGACGGUUUUCGGAUUGUAAACUUCUGUUCUUAGUGAAGAAGAAUGACGGUAGCUAAGGAGCAAGCCACGGCUAACUACGUGCCAGCAGCCGCGGUAAUACGGAGGAUGCGAGCGUUAUCCGGAUUUAUUGGGUUUAAAGGGUGCGUAGGCGGGCUGUUAAGUCAGCGGUCAAAUGUCGGGGCUCAACCCCGGCCGGCCGUUGAAACUGGUUUUCUAGAGUUGGAGAGAAGUA